RNAcentral lists this ribosomal RNA (2621 nucleotides) under Salmonella enterica subsp. enterica serovar Virchow. Its description in RNAcentral is "partial 23S ribosomal RNA". It matches the Rfam family "Bacterial large subunit ribosomal RNA". Lineage: Bacteria; Pseudomonadati; Pseudomonadota; Gammaproteobacteria; Enterobacterales; Enterobacteriaceae. The record is from RNAcentral.
AAUCCAUAGGUUAAUGAGGCGAACCGGGGGAACUGAAACAUCUAAGUACCCCGAGGAAAAGAAAUCAACCGAGAUUCCCCCAGUAGCGGCGAGCGAACGGGGAGGAGCCCAGAGCCUGAAUCAGCAUGUGUGUUAGUGGAAGCGUCUGGAAAGGCGCGCGAUACAGGGUGACAGCCCCGUACACAAAAGCGCAUGUGCUGUGAGCUCGAUGAGUAGGGCGGGACACGUGGUAUCCUGUCUGAAUAUGGGGGGACCAUCCUCCAAGGCUAAAUACUCCUGACUGACCGAUAGUGAACCAGUACCGUGAGGGAAAGGCGAAAAGAACCCCGGCGAGGGGAGUGAAAAAGAACCUGAAACCGUGUACGUACAAGCAGUGGGAGCACAGGUUUACCUGUGUGACUGCGUACCUUUUGUAUAAUGGGUCAGCGACUUAUAUUCUGUAGCAAGGUUAACCGAAUAGGGGAGCCGGAGGGAAACCGAGUCUUAAUUGGGCGUUAAGUUGCAGGGUAUAGACCCGAAACCCGGUGAUCUAGCCAUGGGCAGGUUGAAGGUUGGGUAACACUAACUGGAGGACCGAACCGACUAAUGUUGAAAAAUUAGCGGAUGACCUGUGGCUGGGGGUGAAAGGCCAAUCAAACCGGGAGAUAGCUGGUUCUCCCCGAAAGCUAUUUAGGUAGCGCCUCGUGAAUUCAUCUCCGGGGGUAGAGCACUGUUUCGGCUAGGGGGCCAUCCCGGCUUACCAACCCGAUGCAAACUGCGAAUACCGGAGAAUGUUAUCACGGGAGACACACGGCGGGUGCUAACGUCCGUCGUGAAGAGGGAAACAACCCAGACCGCCAGCUAAGGUCCCAAAGUCAUGGUUAAGUGGGAAACGAUGUGGGAAGGCCCAGACAGCCAGGAUGUUGGCUUAGAAGCAGCCAUCAUUUAAAGAAAGCGUAAUAGCUCACUGGUCGAGUCGGCCUGCGCGGAAGAUGUAACGGGGCUAAACCAUGCACCGAAGCUGCGGCAGCGACACUCAGGUGUUGUUGGGUAGGGGAGCGUUCUGUAAGCCUGUGAAGGUGGCCUGUGAGGGUUGCUGGAGGUAUCAGAAGUGCGAAUGCUGACAUAAGUAACGAUAAAGCGGGUGAAAAGCCCGCUCGCCGGAAGACCAAGGGUUCCUGUCCAACGUUAAUCGGGGCAGGGUGAGUCGACCCCUAAGGCGAGGCCGAAAGGCGUAGUCGAUGGGAAACGGGUUAAUAUUCCCGUACUUGGUGUUACUGCGAAGGGGGGACGGAGAAGGCUAUGUUGGCCGGGCGACGGUUGUCCCGGUUUAAGCGUGUAGGUGUGUGUUCCAGGUAAAUCCGGUUCACUUUAACACUGAGGCGUGACGACGAGGCACUACGGUGCUGAAGCAACAAAUGCCCUGCUUCCAGGAAAAGCCUCUAAGCAUCAGGUAACAUCAAAUCGUACCCCAAACCGACACAGGUGGUCAGGUAGAGAAUACCAAGGCGCUUGAGAGAACUCGGGUGAAGGAACUAGGCAAAAUGGUGCCGUAACUUCGGGAGAAGGCACGCUGACACGUAGGUGAAGUGAUUUACUCAUGGAGCUGAAGUCAGUCGAAGAUACCAGCUGGCUGCAACUGUUUAUUAAAAACACAGCACUGUGCAAACACGAAAGUGGACGUAUACGGUGUGACGCCUGCCCGGUGCCGGAAGGUUAAUUGAUGGGGUCAGCGCAAGCGAAGCUCCUGAUCGAAGCCCCGGUAAACGGCGGCCGUAACUAUAACGGUCCUAAGGUAGCGAAAUUCCUUGUCGGGUAAGUUCCGACCUGCACGAAUGGCGUAAUGAUGGCCAGGCUGUCUCCACCCGAGACUCAGUGAAAUUGAACUCGCUGUGAAGAUGCAGUGUACCCGCGGCAAGACGGAAAGACCCCGUGAACCUUUACUAUAGCUUGACACUGAACAUUGAGCCUUGAUGUGUAGGAUAGGUGGGAGGCUUUGAAGUGUGGACGCCAGUCUGCAUGGAGCCGACCUUGAAAUACCACCCUUUAAUGUUUGAUGUUCUAACGUGGACCCGUAAUCCGGGUUGCGGACAGUGUCUGGUGGGUAGUUUGACUGGGGCGGUCUCCUCCUAAAGAGUAACGGAGGAGCACGAAGGUUGGCUAAUCCUGGUCGGACAUCAGGAGGUUAGUGCAAUGGCAUAAGCCAGCUUGACUGCGAGCGUGACGGCGCGAGCAGGUGCGAAAGCAGGUCAUAGUGAUCCGGUGGUUCUGAAUGGAAGGGCCAUCGCUCAACGGAUAAAAGGUACUCCGGGGAUAACAGGCUGAUACCGCCCAAGAGUUCAUAUCGACGGCGGUGUUUGGCACCUCGAUGUCGGCUCAUCACAUCCUGGGGCUGAAGUAGGUCCCAAGGGUAUGGCUGUUCGCCAUUUAAAGUGGUACGCGAGCUGGGUUUAGAACGUCGUGAGACAGUUCGGUCCCUAUCUGCCGUGGGCGCUGGAGAACUGAGGGGGGCUGCUCCUAGUACGAGAGGACCGGAGUGGACGCAUCACUGGUGUUCGGGUUGUCAUGCCAAUGGCACUGCCCGGUAGCUAAAUGCGGAAGAGAUAAGUGCUGAAAGCAUCUAAGCACGAAACUUGCCCCGA